GGAGAAUUGCUUGAACCUGGGAGGUGGAGGUUGCAGUGAGCUGAGAUCACGCCACUGCAUUCCAGCCUGGGCGACAGAGU
RNAcentral lists this microRNA precursor (80 nucleotides) under Mandrillus leucophaeus (drill). Its description in RNAcentral is "miRNA (ENSMLEG00000016000.1)". The record is from RNAcentral. Lineage: Eukaryota; Metazoa; Chordata; Mammalia; Primates; Cercopithecidae.